RNAcentral lists this ribosomal RNA (1174 nucleotides) under metagenome. RNAcentral's name for it is "SSU rRNA". It matches the Rfam family "Eukaryotic small subunit ribosomal RNA", at positions 558 to 1759 of the family's 1831-position model. The record is from RNAcentral.
AGUCUGGUGCCAGCAGCCGCGGUAAUUCCAGCUCCAAAAGCAUAUAUUAAAGUUGUUGCGGUUAAAAAGCUCGUAGUUGGAACCAUGACCUCGGAGGGCGGUCCCCCACUGGGUGCGUACUGCUGCUCCGAGUCCUAUCUGUCAGUUUGUCUGUGUUGCCUUUAAUCGGGUGGCACAGGUGACUGACGUGUUUACUUUGAAAAAAUUAGAGUGUUUAAAGCAGGCGUUGAAUGCCUGAAUAGUGGUGCAUGGAAUAAUGGAAUAGGAUCUCGGUUCUAUUUUGUUGGUUCAAGAGCAUGAGAAAAUGAUUAAGAGGGACAGACGGGGGCAUUUGUAUUGCUGCGUUAGAGGUGAAAUUCUUGGAUCGUAGCAAGACAAACUACUGCGAAGGCAUUUGCCAAGAAUGUUUUCAUUAAUCAAGAACGAAAGUUAGAGGUUCGAAGGCGAUCAGAUACCGCCCUAGUUCUAACCGUAAACCAUGUCGACUAGCUAUCUGUCAGCGUUAAUAAUGACCUGACAGGCAGCUUACCGGAAACGAAAGUUUCUCGAUUCCGGGGGUAGUAUGGUUGCAAAGCUGAAACUUAAAGGAAUUGACGGAAGGGCACCACCAGGAGUGGAGCCUGCGGCUUAAUUUGACCCAACACGGGAAAACUCACCCGGCCCGGACACCGUAAGGAUUGACAGAUUAAUAGCUCUUUCUCGAUUUGGUGAUUGGUGGUGCAUGGCCGUUCUUAGUUGGUGGAGCGAUUUGUCUGGUUAAUUCCGAUAACGAACGAGAUUCUAACUUACUAACUAGUUCCACGAUCCCUGUGGUCCUAAAUACUUCUUAGAGGGAAAACCGGCAUUUAGUCGAACGAGAUUGAGCAAUAACAGGUCUGUGAUGCCCUUAGAUGUCCGGGGCUGCACGCGUGCUACACUGAAGGAAUCAGCGUGUUUUUCCCUUGCCUGUAAUGGCUGGGUAACCGACUGAAUCUCCUUCGUGUUAGGGAUAGAUCAUUGAAACUAGUGAUCUUCAACUUGGAAUUCCUGGUACGUUUGAGUCAUAAGCUCAAGCAGAUUACGUCCCUGCCCUUUGUACACACCGCCCGUCGCUACUACCGACUGGCAAUAUCUUUGAGACACUUGGAGCGGCCGUGAGCUACCCUAACCGGUAACUCACGGCUGCGAAAAGGUU